Long non-coding RNA from Tupaia belangeri chinensis (Chinese tree shrew), 1543 nucleotides. RefSeq lists it as uncharacterized. NCBI's taxonomy places the organism in Eukaryota, Metazoa, Chordata, Mammalia, Scandentia, Tupaiidae. The record is from RefSeq and is a predicted model, not a curated record. The transcript has 3 exons.
CUAAUGAAGCCUUGAGUGAUAGAUGAUAAGAAGCUAUUUGUGUAUUUGUUUGCAGAGAAAGAAUUACUUACAAACAUUUCUCAGUUCUGAUUUUAUUCUGACACUUGUUACCUUUAUAACCAGGGAGCAUUAUCUACCAAUAAGAAAACAGGAAAGUUGUUACCAGAAAUGUAUGCCUCCAGAAGGAUGAAUUCCUCCCAGAAGCAGAAGAACACCCCUUCAUCCUCUGGAAGCUUCAGCAACCGGCGUAGCAACAACCAUGGCCUGUCCUCACAUUCUUCUGACACUUCCAUGAAUGAUGCUCAGCAGUUUCUUAAACAAGGUCCACAAGAAGGAAAUCAAAAAGCAACCUCUCAAUCCCUAUUCAAAUAUGAAAACUUCACUGGAAAUCUCCUCCUAAGAAUCUGGAUGUUAUUGAUAAUGAUGUUUAUGGAGCUAUGGAAAAAAAAUAUGCAUCCAUAUACAGAUAAAAUAUGGCAAUAUGUGUACAAGCUAUCUAUUCUAAAAGUGUUGGGGGGGUUUUUUAUUUUGUUUUUUAUAUUUUUUUGUAUUUUCUAAAUGUCCUAGUUGGUGUCUAAUUUUUAUAUUUUGAAUAUAGAUAGAUAGACAUAUAUACAUAAUUUUUUUUCUAAAGAAAUGCUUCUCAAAUAGUACCUUCAAUACAUUUGUGAAUUUCUUAAAAGCAAAUUGUUUGUGGUCUGCAAAUCAGGGUGGGGCCCAGAAGUCUUAAACAAUAUUUGGAUUUGUACUUUAGGUGUUACCUUUACAGAAUUCUCUGCAUAAGAAUGAACAGGCUGUGUCUUGCCCAGAGAAAGCAGGUGAGGAGAUCAGUAGGGAGUGAAAUCCAGACUGUUUCAGUUGUCAAACUGUGUCUUGAGGAAGGGAGGGUUGUUUUAGCCCAGAAGAGAGGAUAUCUUUUCAGAAUUAGUCUCCUGGACGGAAGUCUCAGAACUGGUGUCCUGGAGAGCUGAACUGGUAAUUUGUCUGCCAAAUCAGAUGCCUCCUGGUUACUUGCAUGAAGCACUAAUGUGUUAGAAUAAUUUCUGGUCAGUCUGAUGUGAGCUAUCUAGUCCCAUUCAUUUCCACAAGUACAAAUAGCUCCUUAACAGCUCUCCAAUUAUACCCCACGUUCCACAUUAAUGGAUUCACCAGGAGGUUGCCUCAGGCAAAGAUUUACAUGAGGAAAACACUGAAAAUCAUUCAUUUCCUUUAGUAGUAUGGCAGAAAGUAGAUAUCUAAAACUGAGAUUGGAAACAGCAGUGGUGCAGCAGUAAAGCAGAGCUCUGCAAGGCUGACCCACAUAAAGAAGGCUCUGGGUUCAAAACAUCUGAGACCUCCUUGAGUAUCCUGGGCUUAUGUGAGCCCCUGAGGUGGGACUGGCUGAGGUUAGGGAUAGACUGUGCUCCAGACUCUGUUGGACGUGCUCUCUCUCUGUCUCUGUCUCUCUCUUUAUCUCUCUCAUAGAGAAAUAAAUAAACUUUUGAAACCAUAGAAAUUACAGUGUAUUGGGGCCAGCAGGUGGCAUGGUAGUUAAGGCACUGGA